This 21-nucleotide microRNA is filed under the name Oreochromis niloticus (Nile tilapia). Its description in RNAcentral is "oni-miR-10744". The record is from miRBase by way of RNAcentral. Lineage: Eukaryota; Metazoa; Chordata; Actinopteri; Cichliformes; Cichlidae.
AGAGUGAGUGGCUGUCAUUUU